This 365-nucleotide ribosomal RNA is filed under the name uncultured soil bacterium. RNAcentral's name for it is "bacterial SSU rRNA". It matches the Rfam family "Bacterial small subunit ribosomal RNA", at positions 26 to 379 of the family's 1533-position model. The record is from RNAcentral.
AGAGUGAACGCUGGCGGUAGGCCUAACACAUGCAAGUCGAACGGCAGCACGGUAAGAGCUUGCUCUUAUGGGUGGCGAGUGGCGGACGGGUGAGGAAUACAUCGGAAUCUACCUUUUGGUGGGGGAUAACGUAGGGAAACUUACGCUAAUACCGCAUACGCCCUUCGGGGGAAAGCCGGGGACCAGCAAUGGCCUGGUGCUGAUAGAUGAGCCGAUGUCGGAUUAGCUAGUUGGUGAGGUAAUGGCUCACCAAGGCGACGAUCCGUAGCUGGUCUGAGAGGAUGAUCAGCCACACUGGAACUGAGACACGGUCCAGACUCCGUACGGGAGGCAGCAGGUGGGGGAAUAUUGGGACAAUGGGGCCG